This is a non-coding RNA of Podarcis lilfordi (Lilford's wall lizard), 74 nucleotides long. NCBI's taxonomy places the organism in Eukaryota, Metazoa, Chordata, Lepidosauria, Squamata, Lacertidae. The record is from the annotation of a GenBank genome assembly.
UCCUGAGAUAGCUCAGUAGGCAGAGCAUGAGACUUUUAAUCUCAGGACUGUGAGUUCAAGCCCCAAGUUGGGUU